This 69-nucleotide transfer RNA is filed under the name Papunya picta. Its description in RNAcentral is "tRNA-Met". Lineage: Eukaryota; Metazoa; Arthropoda; Insecta; Coleoptera; Cerambycidae. The record is from RNAcentral.
AAAAAGAUAAGCUAAUCAAGCUAACGGGCCCAUACCCCGUGUAUAAAGGUUCUGCUCCUUUUCUUUUUA